RNAcentral lists this microRNA precursor (199 nucleotides) under Oryza sativa Japonica Group (Japanese rice). RNAcentral's name for it is "osa-MIR166m". The stretch from base 31 to 172 matches the Rfam family "mir-166 microRNA precursor family". Rfam says of the family: This family represents the plant microRNA (miRNA) precursor mir-166. Animal miRNAs are transcribed as ~70nt precursors and subsequently processed by the Dicer enzyme to give a ~22nt product. In plants the precursor sequences may be longer, and the carpel factory (caf) enzyme appears to be involved in processing. Lineage: Eukaryota; Viridiplantae; Streptophyta; Magnoliopsida; Poales; Poaceae. The record is from RNAcentral.
CUCUGCUUUGGUGGUUGGCUGAUGUUCUCGGUUAAGGGGUUUGUUGUCUGGUUCAAGGCCUCCUGCUGUCCUACAUCACAUUUUUUUUUCUUUGUUCUGAAUUUCUGAUGGAUGUGUGUGUGCAUGAUGCAUGGCUGGUGGUGACCUCGGACCAGGCUUCAUUCCCUUUAACCAGCAUUUGCGUUAAUACCAUCAGGCA